UUACGUCUGUCCAAUUAUUUUG
Molecule: microRNA, 22 nt
Filed under: Drosophila ananassae
Lineage: Eukaryota; Metazoa; Arthropoda; Insecta; Diptera; Drosophilidae
Description: Dan-Novel-10_5p* (star (passenger))
Source: RNAcentral